RNAcentral lists this ribosomal RNA (507 nucleotides) under Escherichia coli. RNAcentral's name for it is "partial 23S ribosomal RNA". It matches the Rfam family "Bacterial large subunit ribosomal RNA", at positions 689 to 1194 of the family's 2925-position model. The record is from RNAcentral. Lineage: Bacteria; Pseudomonadati; Pseudomonadota; Gammaproteobacteria; Enterobacterales; Enterobacteriaceae.
UGGGCGUUAAGUUGCAGGGUAUAGACCCGAAACCCGGUGAUCUAGCCAUGGGCAGGUUGAAGGUUGGGUAACACUAACUGGAGGACCGAACCGACUAAUGUUGAAAAAUUAGCGGAUGACUUGUGGCUGGGGGUGAAAGGCCAAUCAAACCGGGAGAUAGCUGGUUCUCCCCGAAAGCUAUUUAGGUAGCGCCUCGUGAAUUCAUCUCCGGGGGUAGAGCACUGUUUCGGCAAGGGGGUCAUCCCGACUUACCAACCCGAUGCAAACUGCGAAUACCGGAGAAUGUUAUCACGGGAGACACACGGCGGGUGCUAACGUCCGUCGUGAAGAGGGAAACAACCCAGACCGCCAGCUAAGGUCCCAAAGUCAUGGUUAAGUGGGAAACGAUGUGGGAAGGCCCAGACAGCCAGGAUGUUGGCUUAGAAGCAGCCAUCAUUUAAAGAAAGCGUAAUAGCUCACUGGUCGAGUCGGCCUGCGCGGAAGAUGUAACGGGGCUAAACCAUGCAC